This 1189-nucleotide long non-coding RNA is filed under the name Prunus dulcis (almond). RNAcentral describes it as "sRNA ncRNA". Lineage: Eukaryota; Viridiplantae; Streptophyta; Magnoliopsida; Rosales; Rosaceae. The record is from RNAcentral.
AUGUACCUACGAGUCCAAGACCGGUCAUGCUCGUUACGAUAUUCGCGCCAUUAGAUUGAGCGAUUUAUUAUCCACAUUCAAAUCCAAAUCAAAGACAGACUUGCUGCGAAAAUUGGCUUCUGUGGAGGGCAAGGAUGUUCCCUACUUGAUGGGUUGCGGUUUGUUGGGCUCCCAAAUUCUUCUUGCCGGCGGCCUGGAACCGCGGGACCCGAAGCAGAAGACGGGGUUUCGAUACGGACCAUAUGGGAGCAAACAAAUUUAUCUGUUUGAGACAGAUGAUGAUGGGAAAAGAAAGGAGAAAGUAGUUUACAAUCAGAGUCACAGUCACACUACUGGUGAUGAAGGAGAAUUUGAGGGGAUCAUCAAGGGGGACUGCUGCUAUGGUGAACUUCAUCAAGGGAAACCUGAACCAUUGGUGGUUGAGGUUGGUGGGAAGCUCUAUGUUCUCUCUGGUGGUCCGCGAUGUUUCUCUAAAAGUCCUGUUUUUGAGGAGUUCAACUCGGGGACUUGGACCACUCUGCCAGACCCUCCAUAUAUACGACCUUGUCCUCGUGCAUUUCGUUACUUCUCUUAUGCGAUUGUGGGCACCAAGAUCAUGGUCUCCACACCAAUAACUCCAGCUUUUUGCUUCGACGUCGCCGCCCCAAAUCCCCGCCAAUGGUGGGUGUGCUCUGCUGAGCCUUUUCCCUUCAUAGGCCUUGCUUUAGUGGUGGACUUGGAGGAGGAAGGUAGUGACCUUAAAUGUAAUAAGAUAAUGUUUGGCUAUGAACGCAUACCUGGAUAUGGACAUGGUUAUGAUGUAGUAGCCUACGCCAUGUUCCACGAUGAUGAAAAUGGCUAUUGUUAUUAUCAUCGCAUCCAACCUCUACAUCUGCUGACAGAGUUCCAUGCAUUACUUGGUAGAUCACAUGACACGUUUAGAUUUGUCCAUCUAGGAGGUCGAAAAGUCUGCUUUGUUAUUGCCAGUUUCAUCCCAGGCUUGGAAGCUGAUGAUGAUCAUCCUAUUCCUACGACGGAGAAGAUGAAUCUCGUUGUCGUGACAUUCGAAUUUUCCAUUUCCGAGAAUAAUGAUGGUUCAACAAGAUCCUUCUCAACCAAAACCUUGGGUUCUUGCGUCUUUCCUUUCAAUUGGGCUUCAGAAUCUGGUCGCACCUUCGAUGGCAAACUGCUUGGUUGCUUUGUGCGCUAA